This is a long non-coding RNA of Raphanus sativus (radish), 1088 nucleotides long. RefSeq lists it as uncharacterized. NCBI's taxonomy places the organism in Eukaryota, Viridiplantae, Streptophyta, Magnoliopsida, Brassicales, Brassicaceae. The transcript has 3 exons. The record is from RefSeq and is a predicted model, not a curated record.
UCAACGCAGACAUGUCAUAUUCUGUGUUCUCCAUCAUCACGUGCUCCAUCUCUCAUCACCAUUAGAGUCUGUACCAGCCACCAUGAAAGAAGGGCCAUCACACCAUUUGAAAAGAGUGAUUAAAGCUCAUCAGAUACGUUUUGGAAGAGCAGAAGAACGAUCGAUCAAAACUGAGUAUUUCGAAUCCAACUUUUGAGAUCGGAUCUGCCGAUAGUCAACUUCAUCGGUGUUUUCCCGUUGAUCUAGAAGGAACCAGAAAACGAGCGAGAUAUCAUCAGAAAAAUCUCGUUGUCAGCUUUCCAUAUCAUCUUCCCGAUCGUAAAACCAAGGCACGGUUGGAAAGUUAUCGACGUUACUUCUUGGCCAAGGAUAAACUGAAGCUUUAGUGAUGCAGAUACAGUUCCGACCAGUCUCAGCGUAAAGGCCAAACGGCCGACCUAAAUGAAAGCUUUCAAUCUGUAAAUUUUUCAUAUUACUGCAGUCUUCGUUUGCGACCAGCCUGGAGGUGAAGCUAAUUUGGUUAAUCAAAUGGUGUCCGAUCGGAGUGCACUCGGUGUCUAUGGACAGAGGACAUAUAGGACUACAUUAUGACCGGACGGAUUGAAAAGUUAACGGUCAGUUCUUGAGAUAUCCAUCUGUUUUCUCUAGGGUUCAGUCCUGCCAGAAUUAUCAUAUUCAUUUAUUUUCAGAGAGUUCCAGAGUUACUGUUUCAGAUUCGUCAAGGUUCAUUAUGUGUUUUCUCAGGUUAUCUUCAGAACUCGUGGCAAAGGUGAGGGUCUAUUCCGUAAAUUCCGUACCAAAAUAGAAUUCUUUCUAUCGUAGUUUAGAUUUCGAAAUAUGAAUUAAGUCUGUUUGAGUCGUGAUUGUUAGUUAGAUUAUGUAUUGUAAACCGGAAUUAGGGGUCUAGAGGAUUCAACUAUUGAUUGGAUUGUGUGAUGUUGAGAUAUGAGAUAUAUAUUUAUAUAUAUAUAUAUGUAUGUACAUAGUUAUAUAGUAGGGACUAUGUGAUGUGCAGGUUCAGAGACAUCUGAGCUGUCGACCAGAUGUGGUGUGCGGGGGUUCAGGAAUGCCUGAGCUAGCGACGCAGA